RNAcentral lists this ribosomal RNA (492 nucleotides) under uncultured bacterium. RNAcentral's name for it is "partial 16S ribosomal RNA". It matches the Rfam family "Bacterial small subunit ribosomal RNA", at positions 29 to 507 of the family's 1533-position model. The record is from RNAcentral.
AGUGAACGCUGGCGGUAGGCCUAACACAUGCAAGUCGAACGGCAGCACAGUAAGAGCUUGCUCUUACGGGUGGCGAGUGGCGGACGGGUGAGGAAUACAUCGGAAUCUACUUUUUCGUGGGGGAUAACAUAGGGAAACUUACGCUAAUACCGCAUACGACCUACGGGUGAAAGCAGGGGAUCUUCGGACCUUGCGCGAUUGAAUGAGCCGAUGUCGGAUUAGCUAGUUGGCGGGGUAAAGGCCCACCAAGGCGACGAUCCGUAGCUGGUCUGAGAGGAUGAUCAGCCACACUGGAACUGAGACACGGUCCAGACUCCUACGGGAGGCAGCAGUGGGGAAUAUUGGACAAUGGGCGCAAGCCUGAUCCAGCCAUACCGCGUGGGUGAAGAAGGCCUUCGGGUUGUAAAGCCCUUUUGUUGGGAAAGAAAAGCAGCAGGUUAAUACCCCGCUGUCCUGACGGUACCCAAAGAAUAAGCACCGGCUAACUUCGUG